This 569-nucleotide ribosomal RNA is filed under the name Fusarium equiseti. Its description in RNAcentral is "eukaryotic LSU rRNA". The stretch from base 202 to 355 matches the Rfam family "5.8S ribosomal RNA". Lineage: Eukaryota; Fungi; Ascomycota; Sordariomycetes; Hypocreales; Nectriaceae. The record is from RNAcentral.
GAAGUAAAAGUCGUAACAAGGUCUCCGUUGGUGAACCAGCGGAGGGAUCAUUACCGAGUUUACAACUCCCAAACCCCUGUGAACAUACCUAUACGUUGCCUCGGCGGAUCAGCCCGCGCCCCGUAAAACGGGACGGCCCGCCCGAGGACCCUAAACUCUGUUUUUAGUGGAACUUCUGAGUAAAACAAACAAAUAAAUCAAAACUUUCAACAACGGAUCUCUUGGUUCUGGCAUCGAUGAAGAACGCAGCAAAAUGCGAUAAGUAAUGUGAAUUGCAGAAUUCAGUGAAUCAUCGAAUCUUUGAACGCACAUUGCGCCCGCCAGUAUUCUGGCGGGCAUGCCUGUUCGAGCGUCAUUUCAACCCUCAAGCUCAGCUUGGUGUUGGGACUCGCGGUAACCCGCGUUCCCCAAAUCGAUUGGCGGUCACGUCGAGCUUCCAUAGCGUAGUAAUCAUACACCUCGUUACUGGUAAUCGUCGCGGCCACGCCGUAAAACCCCAACUUCUGAAUGUUGACCUCGGAUCAGGUAGGAAUACCCGCUGAACUUUAAGCAUAUCAAUAACGGAGGAA